UACGUAGGGGGCUAGCGUUAUCCGGAAUUACUGGGCGUAAAGGGUGCGUAGGUGGUUUCUUAAGUCAGAGGUGAAAGGCUACGGCUCAACCGUAGUAAGCCUUUGAAACUGGGGAACUUGAGUGCAGGAGAGGAGAGUGGAAUUCCUAGUGUAGCGGUGAAAUGCGUAGAGAUUAGGAAGAACACCAGUGGCGAAGGCGAUUCUCUGGACUGUAACUGACGCUGAGGCUCGAAAGCGUGGGGAGCAAACAGG
This 252-nucleotide ribosomal RNA is filed under the name uncultured bacterium. RNAcentral's name for it is "partial 16S ribosomal RNA". It matches the Rfam family "Bacterial small subunit ribosomal RNA", at positions 524 to 776 of the family's 1533-position model. The record is from RNAcentral.